UACAGAGGGUGCGAGCGUUGUCCGGAAUCACUGGGCGUAAAGGGCGCGUAGGUGGCGGCCCAAGUCCAUGGUGAAAGCUCGAUGCUCAACAUCGAGUCGGCCACGGAUACUGGGUUGCUGGAGCACUGUAGGGGCAGAUGGAAUUCCGGGUGUAGCGGUGGAAUGCGUAGAGAUCCGGAAGAACACCGAUGGCGAAGGCAGAUCUCUGGGCCGUAACUGACGCUGAGGAGCGAAAGCGUGGGGAGCGAACAGG
This 253-nucleotide ribosomal RNA is filed under the name uncultured bacterium. Its description in RNAcentral is "partial 16S ribosomal RNA". It matches the Rfam family "Bacterial small subunit ribosomal RNA", at positions 524 to 776 of the family's 1533-position model. The record is from RNAcentral.